Prosopis cineraria is the source of this 2461-nucleotide long non-coding RNA. RefSeq lists it as uncharacterized. NCBI's taxonomy places the organism in Eukaryota, Viridiplantae, Streptophyta, Magnoliopsida, Fabales, Fabaceae. The transcript has 3 exons. The record is from RefSeq and is a predicted model, not a curated record.
UCGUCGUCGCUGGAGCUCUUUAAGUCUUCGGCUUGCCUUACUAUGAACCUCUUAAAUCGAUCUAUUUCCCCUUGUAGUUAUCUCCUUUCGCCAAAAUUUAAAUGUAUCGACGCAGCCUUACGUUAGCCUUAAGAUAUAUAUAUGUUCAUGAGGAGCCAUCAAGCAGACACGUUUCUCAAUUCAAAGAUUUCACAGAUGAUUGAGAUAACACUACUGGCUCUAAAGGAUGACUUGGUUCUGAGACGAAGUAUCGUCUGAUACCUAAGAAUGCCUGAUGAAGACAUUUCACUAUCAUUGGGAAAGAGGUGAUUGCAACUUUCAAUGUAAAGAGACCUCAUAUGAUGGAUGAGAUGAUGCCCAACGAUGGAAUUAAGAUCCAAACAUGCAGCACAACCAUAAGAAGUCCAAAUAGUGGACUAAAGGCUCUGAUGAUGGAAAGCUAGGUACAGUGGGCUCAAACUCUGCUGUAGGGGGAUCGUGGGCUUCUAUUGGAGGUCUGUUAAUCAGCUUGCUGGAAUGGGGUCCUUGGCCAAAUUCUUGAACACUACCAUGAGGAUGGCAUAUUAGCAUGGGCUAAGGUUGUUGAAAAUGAGUGAUUUAUGAUUAGAGCAGGCGAUGACAAAAUUGCAAGAAUAGUGGAAGAGGUUUCCUAAGGAUGUCGGAGCUGAAUGUGAGGGGGUCGUCAAAGGCUGUGAGUCUCUAGCGGUGUGCUUGAACACCACUGUGAGGAUCAAAAAAGGGUUGAAGUCAGGAAUGAUGAAUAUAGAUUUGUGGUGGGGGUAGAUGAUCAUAGUUAACUUGCUGGGGUAGAGGGAUCAGAGGUCUCCGGUGGAUGAAGGAGCUGGGUGUAAGGGGCUUGAACUCCGCUACAGGGGGUCGGCUUUCGUGGCAUGAGCAGGUCCCUGGCAGAUUGCUUGAACAUGGCCAUGAGUUGUUGGAAAUGAAGGAUUUCUGGUUAGAGUAGAUGAUGAUAAACUUGCAGGGGUAGAUGUGGAGGUGUCAUAAGGAUGUCGGAGCUGGGUGCAGUGGGCUAGAACUCCCACACAAGGUAGUCGAUGGCUUGAAUACUGGUGUGAGGGUGAAGCAUUGACAUGGAUUGAAGUUUUUAGAAAUGAAGGAUUGGUGAUCGGAGCAAAUGAUGGAAUGUUAGGGAGGGAGGAGAUGGAGAGAGGAAAGCUUGAGAGUGGAAGAGAUGAGAGAUGAGUUUGAAGAAUUGAAGGAUGAGGUGGUAGUGAAGAUGAUGGAAAUGAAGGAAAAUUGAGAGGUGAUAAAUAGGUGAGAAUGAAUGAAUAGCUCACCAAAGCAAAGACGAGCGGAACCAGCAUUAAUAUUGUGGCUCACUGAAAGAUGCAACUUAGUUUCGAAGCAAACAUGCAUUUACUCUUUAAAGGUUGUUAUUAGUCAACCAAGAUAUUGAGGGAUACAUGUGGCUCACUUUUUUUCCUUGAGGAAUAUAACUCAAAACGAGCAGAUCAAUCAAGCUUAGGGAAGCAUACCGAUUACUUCUAUGUUGAUGAAUAUUUAUGAUGGUAGCACACAACCUGCCCACUAUUAUAUUUAGGGAGAAUAACAAUUAAGGACCUUCUAAGAAUAUUAAUCUCAAUUACGGACCAUGAAAUUUUAAAAUCCUAGUUAAGGACCAUGGUCCUUAAUUAUGAUAAAAAAAUGUAAUUUGUGAGGUGGGAUUCAAUAACGUGACUUGGGGAUUCACUAACCUAGCUUGAGAAAAUUACUAACGUAUAUUGUGAAAACAUGAAACCCUACUUGGAAAUAGAUUAUUUAACAAAAAGCUCCACUUGAAAAUUCACUAAUCUGACUUGAAAAAAUUUCUAUCGUAUAUUGUGAAAAUAUAAAACUCCACUUGAAAAUCAAUGUUUAAUAAAAAGCGCCACUUGAAAAUUCACUAACUAGAUUUGAAAAAAUUUCUAACGUAUAUUGUAAAAAAAUGAAAUCCUACUUGAAAAUCAAUUGUUUAAUAAAAAGUGACUUCUCCAAAUUGAUGUUUUUUAUUAAACAAUCGAUUCCCAAGUAGGAUUUCAUAUUUUCACGAUAUACGUUAGAAAUUUUUUCAAGUCGAGUUAAUGAAUUUUGAAGUGGCACUUUUUGUUAAAUGUUUUCACAAUAUACGUUACAAAUUUUCUCAAGUUGGGUUAGUAAAUUCUCAAGUGACAAUAGUGAAUUCCACCUCACAAACUACAUUUUUUUAUCACAAUUAAAGACCAGAAUUUCAAAAUUUCAUGAUCCAUAAUUGGAAUUAAUAUUUUUAGAAGGUUUUUAAUUGUCAUUCUCCCUUAUAUUUAUUGUCACAUUGUGUUUUUUGUAUUUUUCUAGUUAUCACAAACUCAUCGACGCCAACUUCAUGGCAGCUUCACUUCUUGGUUUUGUUUUUUUUUUUUUUUUCAACUGACUUUAAUAUUCUGACCCUUAAGCUUCAAUAUUGCGUUCGUUUGUUCCUCCAAUG